UGGCUGAAAUCUGGAGCUCAGAAUGGUCAACAGUGCCCUAGAAAUGACUGUCUCCUUGCUUGUCUUCCUGUCUGCACUGGGUCUCCCUCAGGGUGUCCUGUCCCAGGUGCAGCUGCAGGAGUUGGGCCCAGGACUGGUGAAGCCUUCACAGACUCUCACCCUCACCUGUACCAUCUCUGGGGACACUGUCUCUAGCACCAGUGCUGCUUGGAAUUGGAUCAGGCAGCCCCUGGGGAGAGGUCUCCAGUGGCUGGGAAGGACAUACUACAGGUCCAACUGGAAUUAUGAGUAUGCACCAUCUCUGCAAGGCCGAUUGACCAUAACCCCUGACACAUCCAAGAACCAGUUCUCUCUACAGCUGAGCUCCGUGAGCACUGAGGACACAGCCAUGUAUUACUGUGCAAGACACACAGUGAGGGAACCUCAAUGGAGGCUCAGACACAAACUUCGCUGCAGGGCCACUAAGGACCAGGAGGGGGCUCCCAGGACCUACCGGGCCACCCUGGACUGA
This is a non-coding RNA of Heterocephalus glaber (naked mole-rat), 511 nucleotides long. The record is from the annotation of a RefSeq genome assembly. Lineage: Eukaryota; Metazoa; Chordata; Mammalia; Rodentia; Bathyergidae.